GGUGGAAAUCGGGUACACUGCAUCCUCGGCGGUAGGGUUAUCCCAGAACCAAUCUCCCGUCAUCCACCCCUGUCUGUCAGAAAGAGUGGAUCCACACGCUUUGAAUGUCUUGUGCCAAAAAGAAAAUUUGCUGACCCAGACGGGAUGAACAGCUGAAAACACAAAACUGUCUCUGGAGAAAGCUGCCACCUUCCCGUCAGAACACUCAAGCAACUUGAAGAGAAUCCAUGAGCAGAGGAACCAAGACCUCUUACCAAGAACCAGACAACUGACCAGUAGUAUGAGUGAUCCACUUUUGAAGGAGGUCCUCCCACCCCAAUUUAGCCUUCAGAUGAUGGUAGUCCUGGCCCACAUCAUGAAUUCAUUGUCAUGAAAACUUCACUUCAGAACUUCCUGGCUAAGCCACUCCUGACCCUCGAAAACUGUGAGAGAUAAUAAACGCUUACAGUUGUUUUAAACCACUAA
Long non-coding RNA from Tupaia belangeri chinensis (Chinese tree shrew), 465 nucleotides. RefSeq lists it as uncharacterized. Lineage: Eukaryota; Metazoa; Chordata; Mammalia; Scandentia; Tupaiidae. The transcript is spliced from 3 exons. The record is from RefSeq and is a predicted model, not a curated record.